AUCUGGUUGAUCCUGCCAGAGGCGACCGCUUUUGGAGUUCGAUUAAGCCAUGCGAGUAGAAUGAAUUAGAUUCAUUGCAAACUGCUCAGUAACACGUGGAUAACCUGCCCUAUGCUCUGGAAUAACCUCGGGAAACUGAGAAUAAUACCGGAUAGAUCACAACGCCUGGAACGGUGUGUGGUUCAAAGAUUACGGCAUAGGAUGGGUCUGCGGCGUAUCAGGUCGUAGGGGGUGUAAUGGACCCCCUAGCCAUCGACGCGUACGGGUGUUGGGAGACAUAGCCCGGAGACGGAUUCUGAGACACGAAUCCGGACCCUACGGGGUGCAGCAGGCGCGAAAACUUCACACUGCAGGAAACUGUGAUGAGGGAACUCCAAGUGGAUGCACAUAGUGUAUCUCUUUUCUUUACUAUUAAUCGGUAUUGGAAUAAGGGCUGGGAAAGACCGGUGCCAGCCGCCGCGGUAAUACCGGCAGCUCGAGUGGUCGUCGCUUUUAUUGGGCCUAAAACGUCCGUAGCCGGUUUGGUAAAUCUGUGGGUAAAUCAACUAGCUUAACUAGUUGAAUUCUGCAGAGACUGCCAGACUAGGAACCGGGAGAGGUGUGGGGUAC
This 609-nucleotide ribosomal RNA is filed under the name uncultured Candidatus Poseidoniales archaeon. RNAcentral describes it as "bacterial SSU rRNA". It matches the Rfam family "Archaeal small subunit ribosomal RNA", at positions 1 to 618 of the family's 1478-position model. Lineage: Archaea; Methanobacteriati; Thermoplasmatota; Candidatus Poseidoniia; Candidatus Poseidoniales. The record is from RNAcentral.